UACGUAGGGACCAAGCGUUGUUCGGAUUUACUGGGCGUAAAGGGCGCGUAGGCGGCUUAACAAGUCACUUGUGAAAUCUCCGGGCUUAACUCGGAACGGCCAAGUGAAACUGUCAAGCUAGAGUGCAGAAGGGGCAAUCGGAAUUCCUGGUGUAGCGGUGAAAUGCGCAGAUAUCAGGAGGAACACCGGUGGCGAAGGCGGUUCUCUGGGCCUUACCUGACGCUGAGGAGCGAAAGCGUGGGGAGCAAACAGG
Molecule: ribosomal RNA, 253 nt
Filed under: uncultured bacterium
Lineage: Bacteria
Description: partial 16S ribosomal RNA
Rfam family: Bacterial small subunit ribosomal RNA
Source: RNAcentral